ACUAAUUCUAGCCCACAAAUUUACUAAUACUAAAUUAUUAAUAAUAUAAUAAAUAAAACAUUCACCUACCAUAAAAGUAUAGGAGAUAGAAAUUUUAAGUAUGGCGCUAUAGAGAAAGUACCGUAAGGGAACGAUGAAAGAAAAAAAUUAAAGUACAAAAAAGCAAAGAUUAUCCCUUGUACCUUUUGCAUAAUGAGUUAACUAGUAAAAACUUAACAAAAUGAAUUUCAGCUAAGUACCCCGAAACCAGACGAGCUACUUAUGAACAAUUUACCAAGAACCAACUCAUCUAUGUGGCAAAAUAGUGAGAAGAUUUGUAAGUAGAGGUGAAACGCCUAACGAGCCUGGUGAUAGCUGGUUGUCCAGAAAAUGAAUAUCAGUUCAGCUUUAAAAAUACCAAAAAAAAAAAGAAAUAAAUUAUACUGUAUUUUUAAAAGUUAGUCUAAAAAGGUACAGCCUUUUAGAAACGGAUACAACCUUGACUAGAGAGUAAAAAUUUUCAAUACCAUAGUAGGCCUAAAAGCAGCCAUCAAUUAAGAAAGCGUUAAAGCUCAACAAUAAAACCAUAUUAAUUUCAAUAAUUAACAAUCAACUCCUAACUUAAUACUGGACUAAUCUAUAAGAAUAGAAGCAAUAAUGUUAACAUGAGUAACAAGAAGUUCCUUCUCCCUGCAUAAGUUUAAGUCAGUAUCUGAUAAUAUCCUGACCAUUAACAGCAAAAUAAGAAUAACCCAACUAUAGAUAACUUAUUAAUUCCACUGUUAAUCCGACACAGGAAUGCACUCAAGGAAAGAUUAAAAGAAGUAAAAGGAACUCGGCAAACACUUAAACCCCGCCUGUUUACCAAAAACAUCACCUCCAGCAUAACUAGUAUUGGAGGCACUGCCUGCCCAGUGACAACCGUUAAACGGCCGCGGUAUCCUGACCGUGCGAAGGUAGCAUAAUCACUUGUUCUCUAAAUAAGGACUUGUAUGAAUGGCCAAACGAGGGUUUUACUGUCUCUUACUUCCCAUCAGUGAAAUUGACCUCCCCGUGAAGAGGCGGGGAUAUAAUAAUAAGACGAGAAGACCCUAUGGAGCUUUAACUACUUAACCCAAAGAAAUAGACUUAACCACCAAGGUAAUAACAAUAAUCUCUAUGGGUUAACAGUUUUGGUUGGGGUGACCUCGGAGAACAAAAAAUCCUCCGAGCGAUUUUAAAGACUAGACCUACAAGUCACAUCGCACAAUCGUUUAUUGAUCCAAAAAUUGAUCAACGGAACAAGUUACCCUAGGGAUAACAGCGCAAUCCUAUUCAAGAGUCCAUAUCGACAAUAGGGUUUACGACCUCGAUGUUGGAUCAGGACAUCCUGAUGGUGCAACCGCUAUCAAGGGUUCGUUUGUUCAACGAUUAAUAGUCCUACGUGAUCUGAGUUCAGACCGGAGUAAUCCAGGUCGGUUUCUAUCUAUUAUGUAUUUCUCCCAGUACGAAAGGACCAGAGAAAUAAGGCCAACUUCAAACAAGCGCCUUAAGCCAAUUAAUGAUCUCAUCUUAAUUAAACUCGCAAAUACUCUGCCCUAGAAAAGGGCUUU
This 1571-nucleotide ribosomal RNA is filed under the name Capreolus capreolus (Western roe deer). RNAcentral describes it as "16S ribosomal RNA". The stretch from base 79 to 1466 matches the Rfam family "Bacterial large subunit ribosomal RNA". Lineage: Eukaryota; Metazoa; Chordata; Mammalia; Artiodactyla; Cervidae. The record is from RNAcentral.